GGUUGCAUAGCUCAGUGUUAGAACACUUGUCUUGUAAACCAUAGGCUGUGUAUUCAAAUCUCACUGAUCAACUA
Non-coding RNA from Danionella cerebrum, 74 nucleotides. NCBI's taxonomy places the organism in Eukaryota, Metazoa, Chordata, Actinopteri, Cypriniformes, Danionidae. The record is from the annotation of a GenBank genome assembly.